UCAGACGAUGCGUCAUGCAUAUCAAUAAGCGGAGGAAAAGGAACUAACAAGGAUUCCCCUAGUAACGGCGAGUGAAGCGGGAAGAGCUCAAAUUUGAAAUCUUAAAGGGUUUCCCUUUACGAAUUGUAGUUUAAAGAAGUGUUUUCUGUUGAGGUUUUGGUAAAAGUUCUUUGGAAUAGGACAUCAUAGAGGGUGAGAAUCCCGUAUUUGACCUUUACUUUCAACUUUGUGAUACACUUUCAAAGAGUCGGAUUGUUUGGGAAUGCAGUCCAAAAUGGGUGGUAAAUUUCAUCUAAAGCUAAAUAUUGGCGAGAGACCGAUAGCGAACAAGUACCGUGAGGGAAAGAUGAAAAGAACUUUGAAAAGAGAGUUAAACAGUACGUGAAAUUGUCAAAAGGGAAGCGUUUGACACCAGUGUUGUUUUUCUGAAAAUCAAUUAAAGAACUGUUUAUGCUAAGCUGUUUAGACUUUAUCAGCUAUCUGUUUAGUUUUGAGCUUUUCUUUAAUGCACUUUUCGGUUAACAAGUCAACAUCAAUUUCUUUUGCUGUAAAAAAGCUUGAGGAAGGUGGCUUGAGAUUCGUCUUAAGUGUUUAUAGCCUCUUGCCUAUGCAGUCGGAGAGAUUGAGGUCUGCAGCGUAGAUCCUUCGGGGCUAAAUGCAUUUGUGCUAAGUUAUAGCAUUUUAUAGACAACUUGUUGACUAUGAUUUGUCUUGUAGCUUACUCGCUUAUGUUAUUUUACCUACGCUUAGGAUGUUGAGCGCAUGUCUCUCUCU
This 774-nucleotide ribosomal RNA is filed under the name uncultured Neocallimastigales. RNAcentral's name for it is "partial large subunit ribosomal RNA". It matches the Rfam family "Eukaryotic large subunit ribosomal RNA", at positions 18 to 616 of the family's 3401-position model. Lineage: Eukaryota; Fungi; Neocallimastigomycota; Neocallimastigomycetes; Neocallimastigales. The record is from RNAcentral.